This 306-nucleotide unclassified non-coding RNA is filed under the name plant metagenome. Its description in RNAcentral is "partial contains 5.8S ribosomal RNA, internal transcribed spacer 2, and large subunit ribosomal RNA". The stretch from base 1 to 105 matches the Rfam family "5.8S ribosomal RNA", at positions 50 to 154 of the family's 154-position model. The record is from RNAcentral.
GAAAUGCGAUAAGUAAUGUGAAUUGCAGAAUUCAGUGAAUCAUCGAAUCUUUGAACGCACAUUGCGCCCGCCAGUAUUCUGGCGGGCAUGCCUGUCCGAGCGUCAUUUCAAACAUCAAGCCCCCGGGCUUGUGUUGGGGACCUGCGGCUGCCCGCAGGCCCUGAAAACCAGUGGCGGGCUCGCUGUCACACCGAGCGUAGUAGCAAUCACCUCGCUCAGGGCGUGCUGCGGGUUCCGGCCGUUAAACAGCCUUACAAAACCCAAGGUUGACCUCGGAUCAGGUAGGAAGACCCGCUGAACUUAAGC